ACUCACGGAUGUAUUAGAGAGAAAGAACCACACAAAAGAAAAGCACAAGGAAAAGAAAAGAAGAGUUACGGAGCAGAGGAGAGAGGCGAAGUAGAAAUCCAAAUAAGUAAUUGCUGGUGAAUUGUCAUUUCAAUAAUUCAGAAGAUUUUAUAACCCCUUAAGCCAUGGACCGUGCGUCACUGAAAAAUGGACAUCAAUAAGUAUGAUUAUCUGAAGAAAAUAGUGGAAGAGGCAAACGGAACUUCGGCAAAAAGCAUAGACAAAGAGAAUAACAGUAGCAGCGCUGAGAAUGAGAAACAUCAAAAGGGGAGAGAUGGAAGUGAGGAGUAUGCUGAGGAGGAGAAUAGAGAUCCCGUUGGAGCAGCAAAAAGUCUCGCGGCGAGGGUGAAAGAGAGAAGGAUAAGGAGAGAGAUAGGGAUAAGGAAAGGGAAAGGGAAACGUCGUCGAGGCAUCAAAGUAGGUAAUGAGAAUCGAAUAGAGACAGAGAGAGGGAGAAGGAGAGGAGGAGCUGAAGUCGCUCGAGGAUUAAGCGAGAGAGGGAGAAGGAGAUGUUGAGAGAGAGAGAGCACUAUGAAUCAUGGGAAAGCAGGAUGAGGGCUUUAUUAAGUGCAAACAACUUGUCCUUAAAAAGUUGAUAACUACACUGAAGCACACAUUAAGCUAGGGGAGGCGCUCAACAACUAUGUAUUAUUGAAUAUCAAAAUGAAGUCCUUGAAAGAUUAAUAUUCAUGAAAUUUAAUUUUUAUAGUAUUUUGAUGACCAAUACUAAGUUCUCUGAUGGCAGAGUUGGGCGGCUUAGCAAUGCUUUAUCUGUUUAUUCAGGGUGGUCGGAGCUUGGCGCUUAAGACCUGAGGGUUUCUACCCCAAAUUGAGUGAAGGUCUGAAGCUAUUGUACUGAUGCUAAUGUGGAUGCACCCGUUGAUGUUGUGGAAGUUGCUGGAGAAGAAUCCAUAGAAGAAAAUGAUAUUAACCACACUAAUGCUAAUGUGGAUGCAUUAACUAAUGCUGUGAAAGUUGAUGGAGAAGAACAACCCAUGAAACAAUCUGAUGUUGAUUAUGCUGAGGCUGUUUUUUUCAAAAUAUGUACUGACCACAAAAUUAUUAUUCUAAUGAACUUAACUGCCUUCCCAUCCCUAUUUGUUUGUAAAUUAAUAUGUUGGGCCGUGCUUACCAUGGGCCUAGCCCAUCUAGUCCUAAAAAUAAGUCAAUAGUACAUUAAAUCAUUCGCCUUGUUGUGGACACUUGUCGCAAGAUAGAUUUUGAUUGUCUUAGGCUAAACUUGGUGAGGCUGUGUUUGAGUGUAUGUUCUUUGUAGCACGAGUUUAAUCCUAAGUUGGAAAGAGAUUCCUUUA
Molecule: long non-coding RNA, 1352 nt
Organism: Capsicum annuum
Lineage: Eukaryota; Viridiplantae; Streptophyta; Magnoliopsida; Solanales; Solanaceae
Exons: 4
Source: RefSeq, a predicted model, not a curated record